Molecule: transfer RNA, 96 nt
Filed under: Pseudomonadota bacterium
Lineage: Bacteria; Pseudomonadati; Pseudomonadota
Also listed under: 2 other names
Description: tRNA-Sec
Rfam family: Selenocysteine transfer RNA
Source: RNAcentral
GGAGGGCAGCGUCCGCCGGUGCGGGCCCCGGUCUUCAAAACCGGUCGUCGGGCCUUUGCGGUCCGGGUUGGGUUCGACUCCCAAUGCCCUCCGCCA